UUCGGAUAAGAGGCUGAAACUCGCCUCUUUGAAGUCGGAAUCGCUAGUAAUCGCAGAUCAGCAUGUUGCGGUGAAUACGUUUCCUGGUCUUGUACACACCGCCCGUCAAACCAUGAGAGUCGCCAACACCCGAAGUCCGCUUUGCGGCCUAAGGUGGGGGAGAUGAUUGGGGUUAAGUCGUAACAAGGUAUC
This 192-nucleotide ribosomal RNA is filed under the name uncultured bacterium. Its description in RNAcentral is "partial 16S ribosomal RNA". It matches the Rfam family "Bacterial small subunit ribosomal RNA", at positions 1292 to 1500 of the family's 1533-position model. The record is from RNAcentral.